This is a non-coding RNA of Paramuricea clavata, 113 nucleotides long. The record is from the annotation of a GenBank genome assembly. Lineage: Eukaryota; Metazoa; Cnidaria; Anthozoa; Malacalcyonacea; Plexauridae.
GUGUCUUCAUCAGGGGUGAUCUAAAGUUACAAUCGUGGCUUCUUAAUUGACGUCAUCCAUUGGGUAUUUAAGAAGCCAUGAUUGUAACUUUAGAUCACCCCUGAUGAAGACAU